Molecule: non-coding RNA, 107 nt
Organism: Gossypium hirsutum (cotton)
Lineage: Eukaryota; Viridiplantae; Streptophyta; Magnoliopsida; Malvales; Malvaceae
Source: Rfam
AAACCAUGCAUCAGACAUUUCCUAAGUAAUUCCUUAAAUCGAUCCCAAGCUUCAUACAAUGUCUCAUCUUCUAAUUGCUAAAAAGAUGUGAAAUCAUUCCUUAACUU